RNAcentral lists this ribosomal RNA (457 nucleotides) under uncultured bacterium. Its description in RNAcentral is "partial 16S ribosomal RNA". It matches the Rfam family "Bacterial small subunit ribosomal RNA", at positions 338 to 795 of the family's 1533-position model. The record is from RNAcentral.
CCUACGGGAGGCAGCAGUGGGGAAUAUUGCACAAUGGGGGAAACCCUGAUGCAGCGACGCCGCGUGAGUGAAGCAGUAUUUCGGUACGUACAGCUCUAUCAGCAGGGAAGAAAAAAAGUCCUUUGGACUUUGGACGGUACCUGACUAAGAAGCCCCGGCUAACUACGUGCCAGCAGCCGCGGUAAUACGUAGGGGGCAAGCGUUAUCCGGAUUGACUGGGUGUAAAGGGAGCGUAGACGGCAGCGCAAGUCUGGAGUGAAAUGCCGGGGCCCAACCCCGGAACUGCUCUUGGGACUGCGUGGCUGGAGUGCAGGAGGGGCAGGCGGAAUUCCUGGUGUAGCGGUGAAAUGCGUAGAUAUCAGGAGGAACACCGGUGGCGAAGGCGGCCUGCUGGACUGCAACUGACGUUGAGGCCCGAAAGCGUGGGGAGCAAACAGGAUUAGAUACCCCAGUAGUC